ACGUAUAUAUGUCUAUGAUGAUGAUAACGACGAUUACGAAGAAGAAGAAGAAAAUGGUACAGAAUAUGGGUUUACAGGAGUCAGCCCUGUAACACACACUUCAGCCUCUUGAUAGGCGAAACAGCAGUGUGGUACUGUGCCAAAAGCAGCAUGAACCUUCAACAGCCUGCACCUUUUAUCCCCCCAGUUCAUCCUGAUGUACAGAUGAAACCCCUGCCAUUCUAUGAUGUGCUGGAUGUUCUUGUCAAGCCUUCAAGUCUAGGAGCAAGUCCUUCACAGAGGUACCAUCAAGAAAAGUAUUUCAUUUUUGCUUUAACACCACAGCAAGUUCGAGAAGUUUGCAUAUCCAGAGACUUCCUGCCAGGUGGCAGAAGGGACUACAUGGUUCAAAUUCAACUAAGGUUCUGCUUGGCAGAGACAAGUUGUCCUCAAGAUGAUAAUUUCCCUAACAGUCUUUGUGUUAAGGUCAAUGGCAAGCUUUUCCCUUUGCCCGGACUUGCACCACCACCAAAAAAUGGAAUUGAACAGAAGAAAUCAGGAAGACCCCUAAACAUUACCUCCCUUGUCAGACUCUCAUCCGCUGUGCCUAACCAGAUUGCAGUGACAUGGGCCCCAGAAAUUGGAAAGACCUAUUCUCUUUCUGUGUACCUCGUGAGGCAACUUACUUCACCAUUGCUUCUGCAGAGACUGAGGAUGAAGGGAAUAAGAAGCCCAGACCACUCCAGAGCACUAAUGUGUUGACAUACCAACCAGCUAUGCGUAUGCCGCAUGUUCCAGGCCUGGAGCAGUCAUACCUUAACUCAGCGCUUACUGAGUAUGCAGUUCCUUUCCACCCAUCUGCCUUGGCUUCCAUUCCUGAAGAAAUGCAAAGUCUGGAUUUCUUUUCAUUGAUUUCAACAGAACCUCAACAUUACAGGCCUCGAAUGUAUUUGGAAAACCUGUCAGGCAACAUGCAAAACACUGUUGCACCCAGCACUAGCUCUGCUUUGGUCUCUUCCACCUCCAGCAGCAACUAUAAUACCAAUGGCCAUACUGCUGCUUCCAUCGAUGAAACAAGAGUUGCCACAGGAGGAGGAGUAGGUUGCACUGGAGAAGUGACUGGGGGUACCCUAUCAGAUAUUAUUUCACUGGACUAAGCCACAUUCCUUUUGAUGUCUAUUUCAAAGGCUUUCUGCAGUAGUCUAAAUUUAGAUGCCAUGGUAAAUAGUGUUCAGAUUGCUAAACAUUAAUAUUGGCAUGUUUUUGUGCUAUUUCUUUUUGGCUUGAAAAAAAGCUAAAACUUUUUACAUUUUUAUAAAGCCAAAACAUGUUUUUAUAAGUCAUUUGAAAUGCUUUAACUACUUGUACUAUUUAAGGAAAAUGCACAUUUUCCCUUCUGAGCAAUACUUGGUAGGAAGGCAUCUGUGUAGGGAAGAUACUUUUAUAAGGUAAGGUAAGUUUAUUUGUAUGGCACUUUUCAUUAACAAGACGAUUCAAAGUGCUGUACUGACAAAAUCCCAUUGGUACUAUACCGAGUACCGAUUCAAGCAUACCUGUUUCUGUACCACAGCACAUCAUUGUGACACUAAGGGAGUCAAAGAGUGGGAGAUUUUCCAUGCCGGACAUGAAGACAGCAUUGCAUGCACAAGAGUGAAUGACGUCAGUAGCUACUAGUCCAAUUAACGAAGCAAGCAUGAUAGAAAGUGUUUGAAAGUAUUUCAAGAUGUGAUGCAGUAUUUGUGACGCAAAGUGCAACCGCAGCAGCAAGAAUACUUCUAAUCAAAGGAAGCACCUGGUCACUACUGCCAAUUAACAACUUUGUCGCUAUAUUUAGAAACCUUUUAGACCAAUCCAGCAACAAGUGAAAAAUCUUGCAACUUUCUUCUGUUAUUGGUGACAUCCCGUGAAAACACCAAUGCCAAGACAGCAGUGAGUGCUGCUGUAAGCCUCUUCACUCUUCUCUGAACACUUUCUCAAAGGCAGCUGCAGCCUUCUCAUUCUGAAACCCCUGCCUGUAGUCAGAGCAAAGAGAGCAGAGAGAAGAGCCUCUCCAUUUCCACAUUGCAAAUGUGUCCCACCCUAGUUUACAAAGCGGGAUGAUAUAUGUUUUUUAUAUAGUCUCUUUUUUUCUCUGAAACUGUUGCACUGAAAUAAUUCCCUGAAUUUGAUUCACACACAGCUUCAAUCCCUUAUUCACCUCAUUCACUCUGUGUGCCUUCGAUAAGUGUCGUUUUGGUAAAAAUUUGUUUUAUGUGGUGUGGAUUCAGGCAAUGUAUUUGUAGAUCCAAACAAGUUUAUAAUGCUCAA
Molecule: RNA transcript, 2286 nt
Organism: Fundulus heteroclitus (mummichog)
Lineage: Eukaryota; Metazoa; Chordata; Actinopteri; Cyprinodontiformes; Fundulidae
Gene name: E3 SUMO-protein ligase PIAS2
Exons: 10
Source: RefSeq, a predicted model, not a curated record